This is a long non-coding RNA of Paralichthys olivaceus (Japanese flounder), 474 nucleotides long. RefSeq lists it as uncharacterized. The record is from RefSeq and is a predicted model, not a curated record. Lineage: Eukaryota; Metazoa; Chordata; Actinopteri; Pleuronectiformes; Paralichthyidae.
CGGGCGGACAUUAACUUCUGCAGCACCCCUUUGGAAGCAUGUGUUCUCCGGGCGGACCUGCGCGACUGCAAAUCUCUGCUUUUAAUAUGGCUGUGAAGCGCCACACGUUUAUAUCUACUUAUCAUUAUAAUGGUUCAGGCGGUUAAAGAGAAAUUCGUUUUAAAUUAUUAAAGCGCGAAAAUCAUGCGCGUACGAGCACCGAGACAAGGCCGCGCCGGCGAGGAAAGUCACAUGAGCUGGUGAUGAACUGGGAUUGAGGAGAUUGCAUAUCCACACGUGGACCUGCAGAUGAAGGCCUGCUGAGACGCUGUUCACGGUUGUGAAAUAAAUCUCUGCCUGAACAACACAGCGUCGGGCUGUGAGGUGGACCAGGUAAAUCACAGGAGAAAUGGUGACUUAUAAUACCUGCACAUCCUGAUUAUUUAUUGAUCUGUAGAUGUAAAAAUGGCUGAAUAAAGCAUUGUUUUUAAACCA